GAUGGUAUUGACGCCUGGGGCGCAGGAACCAACGCCGUCGUCUCCUCCGAGCAGCCCCGCCGCCCUCAACUCUUCCCAUUGGCCCCUUGUGGUGGCCCCGCCUCCCCCGACCUCUACUCCGUCGGCUGUUUGGCCUCCACCUUCCUCCCCGACGACGUCACCAUGACCUGGCAGAACCACCUCAACCAGAGCGUCACCCGCGGCGUCACCCGCUACCCCUCGGUGGCCAUUUCCGGCACCUACACGGCCAGCAGCCAUCUUGGGUUGCCCCUCUUGGAAGGGAAGAGCCAACAGCCCUUCUACUGCAAGGCCACCCAUCCCGAAGGGAUUGUGGUCAUCGAGGUGCACAACGAGGGCUCCUUUCCUCUCCCUGAGGUCUCCAUCCACCCACCUUCCGCUGAGGACUUCCUGGGUCCCCACCUCAACUCCAGCAUCUUCUGUCACGUCCUGGUGUCCAAGGCCACCCCCACUUCCGUCGUCCAAUGGCUGAAGAACGGGAAGGUCCUCCAGGAGGGCGUGACCAACGAGCGCUUGGUGGCCGCUCAAGGCCAAGGCCCCGACGUCAUCGACAGUCGCCUCAGCGUCACCAAGGCAGAGUGGGAUGCUGGGAAUGUCUACACGUGUCGGGUGGAGGACGAGAUGAGGAACACCAGCAAGGCCCUGGAGUGCGGGAUUGUCCCCGGCAGCGGUGAGGACAUCAAGGUGCAAGUCAUCCCUCCGGCCUUCAUCGACAUCUUCCAAGACAAGGUGGCCAAGUUGACCUGUCAAGUGUCCAACCUCCCCAGCUCGGAUGGCUUGGAGAUCUCCUGGUGGACAGAAAGUGGGGAGAAACUGGCCACCAAGAUGUCCUCUCAAACCCUCCAACCCAACGGGCUCUACAGGGUGGAGGGCGUGGCCAGCGUCUGCGCCGACCAAUGGGACAAGGGGGAGGUCUUCACUUGCAAGGUGACCCACCCUGAGCUGCUCUUCCCCACCGAGGUCACGUUGCAGAAGACCAAGGGUCGUGACGUCAAAGCCCCCUCCAUCUACGUCUUCCCCCCUCCUGCUGAGCAACUGGCCGCUCACGAAACCGCCACCGUCACGUGUUUGGCCAAAGGCUUCAACCCCCCCGACAUCUUCUUCCGGUGGCUCCGCAACGGCGACGUCAUCCCGGAAACCGAUUACGUCACCACCCCCGCCAUGUUGGAAGCUCAUCAAACCACUUCUUACAUCACUUACAGCUCCUUAAGCAUCGGGGGUGAUGAUUGGGCGGCCGGGAAUGUUUAUACUUGUUUGGUGGGACACGAGGAGCUCCCGAUGCAGGUGACGCAGAAAUCGGUCGACAAAGCUUCCGGUAAACCCGCCAACGUCAACGUCUCCCUCGUCCUCUCCGACUUGGCCAACACCUGUUAUUAAACCUCUCACUUAUUUCUACUUUUAUUAAGCAAAAAAAAAAGCAAAAAGCAAAAAAAAAGCAAUAAAAAAAUCGAUUUGAUACAAAAAA
Molecule: non-coding RNA, 1483 nt
Organism: Apus apus (common swift)
Lineage: Eukaryota; Metazoa; Chordata; Aves; Apodiformes; Apodidae
Source: the annotation of a RefSeq genome assembly